CCUACGGGAGGCAGCAGUGGGGAAUUUUGGACAAUGGGCGCAAGCCUGAUCCAGCAAUGCCGCGUGAGUGAAGAAGGCCUUCGGGUUGUAAAGCUCUUUUGUCAGGGAAGAAACGGUGGGGGCUAAUAUCCCCUGCUAAUGACGGUACCUGAAGAAUAAGCACCGGCUAACUACGUGCCAGCAGCCGCGGUAAUACGUAGGGUGCAAGCGUUAAUCGGAAUUACUGGGCGUAAAGCGUGCGCAGGCGGUUUUGUAAGUUUGUCGUGAAAUCCCCGGGCUCAACCUGGGAAUGGCGAUGAAGACUGCAAGGCUAGAAUCUGGCAGAGGGGGGUAGAAUUCCACGUGUAGCAGUGAAAUGCGUAGAGAUGUGGAGGAACACCGAUGGCGAAGGCAGCCCCCUGGGUCAAGAUUGACGCUCAUGCACGAAAGCGUGGGGAGCAAACAGGAUUAGAUACCCUGGUAGUCCACGCCCUAAACGAUGUCUACUAGUUGUCGGGUUUUAAUUAACUUGGUAACGCAGCUAACGCGUGAAGUAGACCGCCUGGGGAGUACGGUCGCAAGAUUAAAACUCAAAGGAAUUGACGGCUGAGACGNGCGAGACGACGACGAGGAGGAGG
This 617-nucleotide ribosomal RNA is filed under the name uncultured bacterium. Its description in RNAcentral is "bacterial SSU rRNA". It matches the Rfam family "Bacterial small subunit ribosomal RNA", at positions 338 to 947 of the family's 1533-position model. The record is from RNAcentral.